This 466-nucleotide ribosomal RNA is filed under the name uncultured bacterium. RNAcentral's name for it is "partial 16S ribosomal RNA". It matches the Rfam family "Bacterial small subunit ribosomal RNA", at positions 28 to 507 of the family's 1533-position model. The record is from RNAcentral.
GACGAACGCUGGCGGUGUGCCUAACACAUGCCAGUCGAACGGUAAGGCCCUUUCGGGGGUACACGAGUGGCGAACGGGUGAGUAACACGUGAGUAACCUGCCCUCAUCUCUGGGAUAACAGUCGGAAACGGUUGCUAAUACUGGAUAUGAGCUUGCAAGGCAUCUUGUGGGUUGGAAAGAUUUUUUUGGUUGGGGAUGGACUCGCGGCGUAUCGGCUUGUUGGUGAGGUAGUGGCUCACCAAGGCUUCGACGGGUAGCCGGCCUGAGAGGGCGACCGGCCACAUUGGGACUGAGAGACGGCCCAAGCUCCUACGGGAGGCAGCAGUGGGGAAGAUUGCACAAGGGACGGAAGGCGGAUGCAGCAACGCCGCGGGCGGGAUGACGGCCUUCGGGUUGUAAAACGCUUUCAAUUGUGACGAAGCUUUUUGUGACGGUAGCAGUAGAAGAAGCACCGGCUAACUACGUG